GACGAACGCUGGCGGCGUGCUUAACACAUGCAAGUCGAACGGAAAGGCCCUGCUUUUGUGGGGUGCUCGAGUGGCGAACGGGUGAGUAACACGUGAGUAACCUGCCCUUGACUUUGGGAUAACUUCAGGAAACUGGGGCUAAUACCGGAUAGGAGCUCCUGCUGCAUGGUGGGGGUUGGAAAGUUUCGGCGGUUGGGGAUGGACUCGCGGCUUAUCAGCUUGUUGGUGGGGUAGUGGCUUACCAAGGCUUUGACGGGUAGCCGGCCUGAGAGGGUGACCGGCCACAUGGGGACGGAGAAACGGCCCAGACUCCUACGGGGGGAAGCAGGGGGGAAUAUUGCACAAGGGGCGGAGGCCUGAGGCAGCAACGCCGCGUGCGGGAGGACGGCCUUCGGGUUGUAAACCGCUUUCGCCUGUGACGAAGCGUGAGUGACGGUAAUGGGGAAAGAAGCACCGGCUAACUACGU
RNAcentral lists this ribosomal RNA (467 nucleotides) under uncultured bacterium. Its description in RNAcentral is "partial 16S ribosomal RNA". It matches the Rfam family "Bacterial small subunit ribosomal RNA", at positions 28 to 506 of the family's 1533-position model. The record is from RNAcentral.